This is a long non-coding RNA of Condylostylus longicornis, 1328 nucleotides long. RefSeq lists it as uncharacterized. NCBI's taxonomy places the organism in Eukaryota, Metazoa, Arthropoda, Insecta, Diptera, Dolichopodidae. The transcript is spliced from 3 exons. The record is from RefSeq and is a predicted model, not a curated record.
UACAGUUAUAAUAUUAAAAAAUAAUAGUAAAUUUUGUGGGUAUGAGUAUAACAAAAAAAAAAUUUGAAAAUUUUAUUUCACUUUUAUAUAGGCAAUCUGCUUACUUACUAUGCCCAUAUGUUUUCAAAUACACGAAAUUGUGAGAGAAAUUAAAAAAUUUUACAAAUAUAAUUUUUUUAAUAAUUAAUAAGACUAUAAAAUUAAUAAAAAAAUAUUAUUAUCAAUUUAUAUUUAGUAGAUAUUUCAUAAAUAUUAAUAAAAAAAAUAAGAGAAAUAAAGAAUAGAAAAGAGCAGACAAAUAGAACGAAACGAAAAAACAAGACGGAAAUAUAAAAAAAAGAAAUUUUUUUUUGUGAGAAGAAAAGGGCGAUAAAUUUUCAACAAUAUUUAGGUAAAAAAAACAAAAAUUUUCCCAGUGAUUCUUAAUUGGAAAACAAAAAUAUUCAUAAUUACAUACUUGUAUACCCUAUAUAAAAAAAAUUAUUAAUUUAUUAAAUAUUAAGAGAAAAAAUACUUAAAAUUAAAAUUAUUUGAAAUUAAAAUAUUAAAAAAAUUGAAAUAAUAAAAAUAAUUUAAAUAAAAUACAAUAUAAAGCAAUUAAAUAAAAAAAUAUAGUGAGAGAAAGAAAAAGAGAGAGAAAAUAGAGUUUUAAAGCAAAGAAUAAGAGGACAUUUAAAGAGAAAGAGAAUUUAAAAAAAAAUAAAGUGAAAUAAAAGAUUAAGAAAGAACAAAGUGAAAGAGAGAAAAUAAAAUAUAAUGUGCAUGUGUUUAAAUAAAUAAAUAUACACACUUAUUUACAUACAUAUAAAAAUAUAAGCAUAUAUUUACCGUAAAAAGGAUUCUUUUUUUUUCACUUGCUUGAAAAAAAAAACGGAAUAUAAGGUGUAAAAGGAUAUGCAAAUAACAAAAAUAAAGGAGGAAAACAAAUUUUUAAUUUAAAGUCACCGUUCUCAAAUGAUUGGAUGACAUUUUGAAGAGAAAAAAAAACAACAACAACAACAACAAAAAACAUAAACAGAAUAAAAAAAUUAAUUUUUUAUUUUGUCUCUCUUAAUUAUAAUUUUUUUUUUCUCUAAAAAAUAAAAUGUCAUCUCCAUUUUAACUGAGAUCAGCAAUAAUAACAAAAAAAAAAAAUUGUCUUAUAAAAAAAAAAUAAAAAAAAUAACCUCAUCGUCCUAGUAAAGGAAAUGAAAAUAUUAAAAUAAACAAGGAUAUUUUUUUUUUUCAUUAAAAUUUUAUAAUUUUCUACGUAUUUGUGUGAAAAAUUGUUAUUUUUUGUUCUAUUUUUAUUUUUUAUUUUUGUUUAUAUAUUUUUAACCAACAAAAAA